Molecule: ribosomal RNA, 253 nt
Filed under: uncultured bacterium
Lineage: Bacteria
Description: partial 16S ribosomal RNA
Rfam family: Bacterial small subunit ribosomal RNA
Source: RNAcentral
GACGUAGGGAGCAAGCGUUGUCCGGAAUUACUGGGCGUAAAGAGCUCGUAGGCGGGAGCGUACGUCCGAGAGGAAAUCUCAAGGCUCAACUUUGGGGCUUUCUCGGAUACGGCGCUUCUUGAGGGUAAGAGAGGAAAGCAGAAUUCCCGGUGUAGCGGUGAAAUGCGUAGAUAUCGGGAGGAAUACCAGUGGCGAAGGCGGCUUUCUGGCUUACUCCUGACGCUGAGGAGCGAAAGCGUGGGGAGCAAACGGG